CGCCGGGAUGUCCCGAGCGGGUGGGGCUCCCCGCCCGGGGCUUCUCCAUCUUCCUGGGGGGACGGGGACGGCGUCCCGAGGGUCCUCCCAGGCGGGGUGGGCUGAAGGAGUGCGGAGAUCCCCGUUCAUCCCCUGAAUUGCGCUCACGAGCCGGUGGGCCGAGGGUCGCGAGGAGCUGAAACCCAAGUCUAAGGUCUCCGCGCCCCCUGCCGCCUUCCCCUAAAGUAACCCUGUGAGCUGCAAGUUGGGAGUUGCCAACUGUCUCAAAAUGGAAGGCAAGUCUCUUCCAGAUGUGUCUUCUCCGCUAAACAAGCCAAGAUGUCUUUGUUGGCUGUGAGUGUCUUUCUGGGUCUGGAAGUGUCUCUGCAGAUUCUGAGACCAGAAAGAGCCUAAGAUUGAGCUGUCCUUUCUUAGUUCCGGCAGAUUUCGGAUUGGAGUUGGUCAUGGGAAUGCCUCAGCAUCUCUUUCAGUUCGCUGGAGUGAUGGACAGUUUAUCACUGCUAUCACUUCCGUGCCAUUGGGCCUUUUCCAGGGACUAGAUUUUGUAGUAGAAAUCAUACAGAUAGAGAGGGAAAAAAGACCUAGAAGACAUUAAGCUGCACUAGGAGCAGAGGAAAGGUGUGAUAAGAGGCAAAGGAGGAAGAAAUGGAAGUUUUAAUGGAAUAUGAUGAAAGAACAAGAGGCCAAGGUAGGGCCAUCACUGAGUUUAUCAAUAAAAACUGGGCUCAAGUAA
Long non-coding RNA from Odocoileus virginianus texanus, 733 nucleotides. RefSeq lists it as uncharacterized. NCBI's taxonomy places the organism in Eukaryota, Metazoa, Chordata, Mammalia, Artiodactyla, Cervidae. The record is from RefSeq and is a predicted model, not a curated record.